CGAUCCCACAGCUCCUCGCAGCGCUCCUCCGUCCAGGGGGGUGAAGAUCGCACCUCCUCCGGGGCGAUGUCCCCCUCCUCCGCCCAAACGGUGGCACCUGGAAGAGGAAGGUGACGGGACGGUGUUAUUCUUCACAUUCAUGUGAUGUCUGAAUUGGAAAUCUUGGGAGAUGACGACCACAUUUUCUACGAAGGGUCACACAUUUGCGACACUUCCUCACCUGCUGCUGGUUCACAUUCCCUGCGGUUCUUAAAUGAGCAUCGACAGCAGCAGGAGAAGCCGUCCUGUGGGGAGGGAUAACAACAAAGUCAGUGUGCUCCAUCAGCAUCAGUGUGCACGCUCCGAACAUGAAUACAGUCCGUCUGUGAAGUACAAUGGCUGGUUUCAAUGCUCAGCAGCUUUCCCAGACAUCAUCAUCAUCAUCAUCAUCAUCAUCAUCAUCAUCAUCAGUCUCCCCACCGCGACCCAGCACACAGGAACAAGGGAUUAACCCUCGCUGAGUCUUUGUGACUCACUCAGAACUACUGACAUCUCCAAACUUCUACUUCUCUCAAGCUUUUUUAGGACUGAAACACGACAGCAACGUUUCCCACAGUACGUUAUUUUCUCAGAUUGGUGCAAUUUAUUAUCUGCUGUAGGUCUGAAGGCAGAAACUAUCUCGAGGAGUUGCUCAAGAAAAUAGAGAGAAGUUGUAAGUGCCUUGGAAACUAUUUUUUAAAUUCUAAUUUGGGAAUUUUGGAGGAGACUGUUGUGCAUAAAUCUGACACAGGCAAAAAAACCCAAAGAGCAGUAAAUAUAGUUAUGUUUUUUUUUUUUUUUAACCAGUAAAAGUUGCAAAUGCAGCAACAAACUCACGAUCCCUCACUGGCUUCCCACUUGGAAAGGAGUUGUUUUUCAAACCUUCUCCCCUAUUUCAUACUUAAUUGAUAGAUUUUUGGUAUUCCAGUUAACACUUGAUUAUCCUGAGAAAUAUUCAAGAAGAAGAAACCGAUGUGCAGAGCAGACGGGACACGAGGCGUCAAGUGUAAAGAUUCAGUUACAAUUUCAUAGCUGAUAUAUUUUGGAUAUUUACCUCAUUUUCUGCUUAUUUGAGACAAAAAACGUGUUAUAUGUAAUUGUUAACAGUGUAUAUGUAAAAAAAAAAAAAAAAAGUUAAAUCUAAAUGUGAGGAAAAGUGAGUUAAAUAUAAAAUUGUAACUGAUUUUUUACAUUCGGCGCCCCGUCUUCUGUCCUGAGAAACAUCUGACUCUUAGAUUUAGAUCAGGCUUCUGAAAACAAAGGUAAUAAAUGUUUCAGCGUGUGUCUGAGCUCAUGCCGAGGACUGACGUUACAACGCUGUGUUGUCUGCGGGACCAGACAACGACACCGGGGUCGACUUCUUUUAUGUUCCCCUCAACCCAACGCUCCAUAUAUCACCCCCCCCCCCCAAAAAAAAGGUUCAACUGAUCAGUCCCACUUCCUGAAUGAUGUUCUCCAAACGCACAUCUGGGAGUCUGGGAGUCUGUCCUCCAGAACAGGGGCCAGAUUCACAAAACACACAUCCAAACUGCACGGCCAUCAUGAAGAGUGAUGCUGCAGCUGUUGUCAACAGGAGCUGCUCGCCCUCCCAGGUUCACAGCAAAGAUGAUCCCUCCAUUUCUCAUGUCUUUGUCCAGGCUGCAUCACACACCCUCAGCUUGAUCUUUUCUGGCUCCAGUCUGAAGGAUCACCGCCCUGAAGAAUCUCUGUUUCCUCCAUCAGGACGCAGCAGCUGGUGCCAGCAGCGAUCGUUCCUCCGUUAUAAGUGAAACCGCAGACGUAUCCUGAUCAUUGGAACUCGCUGCAAAGACACAUGAAAUCAUCACAACACAAAGUGCUGUAGUUUUUCAUCUCAUGAAAGUGAACAGAGUCGAGCUUUAAGAUUAAAAGAAUCAUUUCCGGUUCAUUCAAAUUUUUUGGUUUUUAUUUUGCUGAGGAUAUUUUAUUACAUUUUGGAAAAGUCACAAAAUGAUCUGACCUUUUUGUUUUUUGCUCCACAUUUUUAUUCCUCCGACAGUCGGAGCCGGAGCCAUGUUGUUUUCAGGUUGUCUCAUUCUCGUGGACACGAUAUCUCUGAAACGCCUUGACAGAACUUCUUCAAAUUUUGCCCAAACAUUCAGCAGGACUCAAGGAUGAACUGAUUAGAUAUUGGUGGCUAAAGGUCAAAGGUCACAGUGACCUGUGGACGCAAGAGCUCCAGAACUCCACAGGGGAAUCCCUUCAAAUCUUGCACAAAUGUUCAGUAGGACUCAAGGAUGAACUGAUUAGAUUUCAAAGGUCAAAGGUCAAAGGUCAAAGUCAUGGUGACCUCAGAAAACACUUUUUAGCCUUUACUCAAGACUUCACACAGAAAUUAUGACUAAAAGUUACCUGACACUAGUCUGAGUGGAGGAGGGAUACAACCACAAGGAGGUGAUUCUGGGUUUGCUAUGUAUAUGUGGUGAUGUCCACACACACACACACACACACACACACACACACACACACACACACCACAGUGUGCCUAUAUGUGCUUGUAUUUUUGUUUUAUACCAACAAACACACUGAGGCAUUGAGGCGAGCCUUUCAGGGCCACUGGUAUCUAAUUAUUUAAAAUAAAAGUUAC
This is a long non-coding RNA of Seriola aureovittata, 2623 nucleotides long. RefSeq lists it as uncharacterized. NCBI's taxonomy places the organism in Eukaryota, Metazoa, Chordata, Actinopteri, Carangiformes, Carangidae. The transcript has 4 exons. The record is from RefSeq and is a predicted model, not a curated record.